This 468-nucleotide ribosomal RNA is filed under the name uncultured bacterium. RNAcentral describes it as "partial 16S ribosomal RNA". It matches the Rfam family "Bacterial small subunit ribosomal RNA", at positions 28 to 507 of the family's 1533-position model. The record is from RNAcentral.
GAUGAACGCUGGCGGCGUGCUUAACACAUGCAAGUCGAACGGUGAACACGGAGCUUGCUCUGUGGGAUCAGUGGCGAACGGGUGAGUAACACGUGAGCAACCUGCCCCUGACUCUGGGAUAAGCGCUGGAAACGGCGUCUAAUACUGGAUAUGUGACGUGAUCGCAUGGUCUACGUCUGGAAAGAAUUUCGGUUGGGGAUGGGCUCGCGGCCUAUCAGCUUGUUGGUGAGGUAAUGGCUCACCAAGGCGUCGACGGGUAGCCGGCCUGAGAGGGUGACCGGCCACACUGGGACUGAGACACGGCCCAGACUCCUACGGGAGGCAGCAGUGGGGAAUAUUGCACAAUGGGCGCAAGCCUGAUGCAGCAACGCCGCGUGAGGGAUGACGGCCUUCGGGUUGUAAACCUCUUUUAGCAGGGAAGAAGCGAAAGUGACGGUACCUGCAGAAAAAGCGCCGGCUAACUACGUG